Molecule: long non-coding RNA, 1024 nt
Filed under: Pan troglodytes (chimpanzee)
Lineage: Eukaryota; Metazoa; Chordata; Mammalia; Primates; Hominidae
Description: long non-coding RNA NONPTRT018386
Source: RNAcentral
UACAGAUAUGAUACCUGUGAAAGGAAAGGAGGAGGAAAUCAAGAUUUAGCAGGAACUGAGGCAGAUCCUGAAGGUGCUGCACCUGGAGGAUGCCAACUCACUGCACCCCCUGCAUAUGAACAGCAGGUUCUUUCUUGAAGGGUGAUCUGAGGAGUGAACUUUCAUGACUGCCACAUCUGGGGAUCAGAUCUCACCUGGAAGUUACAGACAUUCAUUGUUUCAAUUGGCUGUGAAUGAGGCAGGUCUCGCAAAUUAGAAACCAGAGCUCAAUACGAGAAUCCUAAGUAGGUGGCAAUGUUAGAGCCUGGACUUUUGCACGCGUUGAAAAAGAAAAUACAUUGACCAGUCUUUGAAAGAUAGAAAAUAAGAUGACUCUUACCACAUGAAGAUUAAUUAGUGGGGUAGAGGCCAGGCCAAGGAACUGAAGACAUGCUUGCUUUUUAAGGAUUGAUGUUAGUUAACAACAUACGUAAUUUAGAAAAUUGGGUUUGAGAACCUUAUGCCAUUGGGAUUUUUUUAACUGCAAUUUUCAUUGAGAUUAUCGUAGAUCCCUUUGCAGCUGCAAAAAAUAAUGCAGAGAAUUCCGUGUACACUUUAUCAAGUUUCCCCUGAUGGUAACAUUUUGCAAAAGCAUAAUAUCACAACCAAGAUAUUGAUAUUGAUAUAAUCCACUGAUCUUAUUCAGAGUUCCCUAGUUUUACCUGUACUCAUUUCUCUGUUUGUGUGUGUGUGUGUAUGUGCACGUGUGUGUGUGUGUGACACCACCAUCACAGUCAAGAUACUGAACAUCUCCAUCACCACAAGAUCCCUCAUAUUGCAGCCUCACUCACUUUGCUCCCACAUUUUUAUCCCUAUCUGUAGCCCCUGACAAUUACCAAUCUUUUCUCCAUUUCUCAAAAUUUCUCCCUUCAAAAACAUUAGAUACAUAAUUAAAUCAUCCAUUAUGUAACCACUUGAGAUUGGCUUUUUCACUCUGCAUAAUGCCCUUGAGAUUCACCCAAGUUGUUGCAUGUAUCAAUAGUGU